RNAcentral lists this ribosomal RNA (253 nucleotides) under uncultured bacterium. Its description in RNAcentral is "partial 16S ribosomal RNA". It matches the Rfam family "Bacterial small subunit ribosomal RNA", at positions 524 to 776 of the family's 1533-position model. The record is from RNAcentral.
UACAGAGGGUGCAAGCGUUGUUCGGAAUUACUGGGCGUAAAGCGCGUGUAGGCGGCCAGAUAAGUCGGAUGUGAAAUCCCUCAGCUUAACUGAGGAAGUGCAUUCGAAACUGCUUGGCUUGAGUGUCGGAGGGGAUGGCGGAAUUCCCGGUGUAGAGGCGAAAUUCGUUGAUAUCGGGAGGAACAUCUGUGGCGAAGGCGGCCAUCUGGACGACAACUGACGCUGAGACGCGAAAGCGUGGGUAGCAAACAGG